UUUUGCCCAAGAAAUCCACCAACACAACGUCUAGGGUGCGUGCACAUUCUUGGGCGUUGAGCGCAUUCACAAGACCCGCGAUAGUUGGACACGACGACGGGCGACGGCUUCGAGCGUGCUCAGCGUUGAGCACGGUGGCUUAGGGUUUGCCUAGGUCCACCUUGUCACCUCUUGUUGAGCUUGUUGAAGGUAUUUAUGUUUUUUAUUGAGGGCGAUAUGCUCCUCUGCCCUUCAAUAGCAGCUUACAGCAAAUAAGUUUUCUGAUUCUGCAAGGGGGAAAUAUAGUUGACCUCUUUGCGCAUAGUGAAUAGGAAUCGGAUAAUGAUAUAAUUUUGCUCCCAUACCAGUUACCACAGAUCGAAGUAGGUACCCUUCCUUUUGUAGUACAUGAACAUUGGACUGGUGUAUGUUUCGAAUAGUAUCAUAUAUCAGAAUAAAUUACUCAUUUCGAUCGAUAUUCUGGAACAGAAGAAUCAGUUAAUAAAUCACUCUGAACAAAAGUAACAGGGGCUCCGUAAUUUAUGGUCAUGAUGUCCCUCCUUAGUGUUGGUCACGUACUAGUGUGAGUGGCAAGCUAGUGCGGUGUUUGCCCCCUUAGCUAUUUUGAAUAGCAAGAGAAUUUGUCCUCAUAAAUCCCAUCCAUUUUCCUGGUCACCAAAUCAUCCCUCAGGGUUAUAUGAGUCAUCUAGACUUCUCUUCUUGACAUAAUGAUGGACAACUCUUAUGUGUGUUCAGAAAAGAAAAAAAACAAAACUAACAGGGUGGGCAAAUCUUUUUAUAACAGCUAGAAGAUGAUAUUCCGUGCACUAGGAUGGAUGGAUAAAAAAAAGAAAUUGCAGCCUAAUUCCUCAUACCACACCCAAAUCGGGCAUGCGAAGAAAUGCCAACAAAUACUAUAUUAAGCAAGAAUGAAACCCUAAAAAGAGUCGAGCAUGAUGGAGGGAUGUAGCCUUGAGGGCUGCUCAGCUCAUGAUGUUUUCUUAAUUUCUUCACUCACACGAAUUGGGGAUCUGUAUAGGUUACUCAAGAACGACGGCCGUCUCGACACCAUAGCCGACUUGUGGAUAGCCAUGGAGGCCGCGACUGACGGGAACUGAUUUGAUUGCAUGGAGCAACAGAAACCGUUGCCUCGCCGGUUGAGCAUUAGCGUCGAGCCGUCCUUGGCGACGAGGGAGCACAUUCCUGCGCAGCCACAAGAUCUUAAUUUUGUUCGGUAUAACAGUUUUGUGUACAAUAUUAUUCGACAUCUAGAGUGUGUGCGCGUGUGUAUGUGGAGCAUUUUCAUUUCGGUGUGGUGGAUUUACAUACCAAUGCCUC
RNAcentral lists this long non-coding RNA (1317 nucleotides) under Zea mays. RNAcentral's name for it is "long non-coding RNA (ZMAY_LNC002879)". Lineage: Eukaryota; Viridiplantae; Streptophyta; Magnoliopsida; Poales; Poaceae. The record is from RNAcentral.